This 559-nucleotide long non-coding RNA is filed under the name Nicotiana benthamiana. Its description in RNAcentral is "long non-coding RNA (NBEN_LNC042579)". Lineage: Eukaryota; Viridiplantae; Streptophyta; Magnoliopsida; Solanales; Solanaceae. The record is from RNAcentral.
GAUGCCAAAGCUUUUACACUCAAAAAAUAUACAACUUUGAGAGCAAAAAAAAAAAAAGAAUUAGAAUACCUAAAUGGUAAGCUGAAUUUCCAGAGCUUUUGUGCUAGUUCAAGUGCUUUUCUUGUUGGGUUUUCAAGGGGUGUUCUUGAUUCUGCUGCUGCUGUUUGCUACUGUCUGUUUGAUGUUGCUACUGUCGGGUUCUAACGUACAUUCUGUUUGUUAGUUUAACAUUUUCGAAGGUCAUUGUUGCUACUAAAAUUCUGCAAUUAGAUAACUCUUUCAACCUUUAGAGUAAUUGUCUUUACAAUAGGACAAUGAAGAUAUUGUUUUGAGAUGUGUUUUGAUCCUUACAUUAUUAUAAGAAAUGAGAAAAUUUUUACUUUGCAUUCUCUGAUUUGUUUGUUUUCAGAUUUAGUUAUUUUAUAUAUCUUAGUUGUUGAUGUAUAGUUAAUGUGUUGGUAAACAGGUAAAAAAGUGAAUCAAGGAAGAGCUUCAGCUUUCUUGUUCUUUAUUAGCUAUAUAUUUUAAUACAUCAUGUUGUUAAUAUAGGGAUUCUAUA